CGUACACGGAUGGACAAGUCUGAUGUGAAAGGCUGGGGCUCAACCCCGGGACUGCAUUGGAAACUGCCCGUCUUGAGUGCCGGAGAGGU
Molecule: ribosomal RNA, 89 nt
Filed under: uncultured bacterium
Lineage: Bacteria
Description: partial 16S ribosomal RNA
Source: RNAcentral